Non-coding RNA from Cricetulus griseus (Chinese hamster), 321 nucleotides. The record is from RefSeq and is a predicted model, not a curated record. Lineage: Eukaryota; Metazoa; Chordata; Mammalia; Rodentia; Cricetidae.
CCUCGGUGUCUAAGCAUUUGCCUGGCGCUCUUCCUCUGUGUUGCAGGAGCUCCACGCCCCGUUGACUGUUGUUGCAGAUGGGCUCUUCUCCAAGUUCAGGAAGAACCUCAUCUCCAGUAAAGUUUCUGUUUCAUCUCACUUUGUGGGUUUCCUUAUGAAGAAUGCACCACAGUUUAAAGCCAAUUUUGCAGAGCUUGUUCUGCUCAACCCAAGUCCAGUUCUCAUCUACCAGAUCUCAGCCAGCGAGACUCGGGUACUUGUUGACAUCCGUGGGGAAAUGCCAAGGAACUUAAGAGAGUACAUGGCUGAGCAGAUUUACCC